RNAcentral lists this ribosomal RNA (457 nucleotides) under uncultured bacterium. RNAcentral describes it as "partial 16S ribosomal RNA". It matches the Rfam family "Bacterial small subunit ribosomal RNA", at positions 338 to 795 of the family's 1533-position model. The record is from RNAcentral.
CCUACGGGCGGCAGCAGUGGGGAAUAUUGCACAAUGGGGGAAACCCUGAUGCAGCGACGCCGCGUGAGUGAAGAAGUAUUUCGGUAUGUAAAGCUCUAUCAGCAGGGACGAAAUAAAGUCCUUCGGACUUUGGACGGUACCUGACUAAGAAGCCCCGGCUAACUACGUGCCAGCGGCCGCGGUAAUACGUAGGGGGCAAGCGUUAUCCGGAUUUACUGGGUGUAAGGGGAGGGUAGACGGCAGCGCAAGUUUGGAGUGAAUUCCCAUGGCUUAACCAUGGAACUGCUUUGGAAACUGUGCAGCUGGAGUGCAGGAGAGGUAAGCGGAAUUCCUAGUGUAGCGGUGAAAUGCGUAGAUAUUAGGAGGAACACCAGUGGCGAAGGCGGCUUACUGGACUGUAACUGACGUUGAGGCGCGAAAGCGUGGGGAGCAAACAGGAUUAGAUACCCUUGUAGUC